UGGUUUUGGUUGUUAGGUGAUGCCAUCGGCUUAUCGAAAGAUGAAAAAUUCCAAUUUCCAAUAAGACAGUUAAUUAGGGUUUAUGAAUUGGUUUUAAUCGAAAGAUGAAGAAUUCCAAUUUCCAAGUCGGACAGUUAAUUAGGGUUUAUGAAUUGGUUUGGGCUCAAUAAUGAUGAAAUAACAAAAUAAUUAACGAUUUUUUAACUAAAAAAUAAGA
This 217-nucleotide long non-coding RNA is filed under the name Helianthus annuus (common sunflower). RNAcentral's name for it is "sRNA HanXRQr2_Chr06g0243521". The record is from RNAcentral. Lineage: Eukaryota; Viridiplantae; Streptophyta; Magnoliopsida; Asterales; Asteraceae.